GAUGAAGAACGUAGCGAAAUGCGAUACGUAAUGUGAAUUGCAGAAUUCAGUGAAUCAUCGAGUCUUUGAAUGCACAUUGCGCCCCCUGGUAUUCCGGGGGGCAUGCCUGUCCGAGCGUCAUUGCUGCUCUCAAGCACGGCUUGUGUGUUGGGCCUCCGUCCUCCUCCCGGGGGACGGGCCCGAAAGGCAGCGGCGGCACCGCGUCCGGUCCUCGAGCGUAUGGGGCUUCGUCACCCGCUCUUGUAGGCCCGGCCGGCGCUUGCCGACACAUCAAUCUUUUUUCCAGGUUGACCUCGGAUCAGGUAGGGAUACCCGCUGAACUUAAGCAUAUCAAUAAGCGGAGGA
This 345-nucleotide unclassified non-coding RNA is filed under the name soil metagenome. Its description in RNAcentral is "partial contains 5.8S ribosomal RNA, internal transcribed spacer 2, and large subunit ribosomal RNA". The stretch from base 1 to 120 matches the Rfam family "5.8S ribosomal RNA", at positions 35 to 154 of the family's 154-position model. The record is from RNAcentral.